RNAcentral lists this long non-coding RNA (4963 nucleotides) under Sus scrofa (pig). RNAcentral describes it as "lncRNA (ENSSSCG00060065823.1)". Lineage: Eukaryota; Metazoa; Chordata; Mammalia; Artiodactyla; Suidae. The record is from RNAcentral.
AGAACUUUCUGGGCCAGGGAUUGAGCCUGCAUCACAGCAAUGACAAUGCCAGAUCCUAAACCACUAGACCACAAGUGAACUCUGUAAUGUGUCAUUUUUAACUAGCCGCUUUUAAGAUUUGCAGUUGGACUAUGACAUGUAAUAGUUAUCCUGCUUAGUGUUUGACGGGCUUCUUGAACCUGUAAAUUUAUGUCUUUCACAAAAUUUGGGAAGCUAUUUGCCAUUAUUUCUUUAAACUUUUUUAUGCCCAUUCUUUUUCACUUCUCCUUCUGAAAUUAUAAUAUGGGCCUUUUGAAAUUGUUGCCCUAAGGCUUUAUUGUUUAUUUUAUUUUGCUUCAAUAUUCUUCUCUCUUUUCUUUAGAUUGGACAAUUUGCAUUAGUCUUCAAAUUCACAGAUUUUCCUCUGCUAUCAUUUUAUGGUUUGAUUAAUCUCUUCCAGUGAUAUUUUUAUUCCAGAUAGUCUUAUUACAGAUAUUGUAUUUUUCAGUUUUAAAAUUUCCAUUUGGUAUUACAAAGUAUUUUCUAUUUUUCUGUUGAGAUUUUUACUUUUCAUUCACUGAACAUAUUGUAAAAGCUGCUUUAAAAUCUUUGAUAAUUUCAACAUUUGAAUUAUCUCAGGACUGACUUCUGCUAAUUGUCUUUUCCCCUGAGACAAGGUCAUAUUUUUCAUGUUCUUUGUAUGUCUCAUAAUUUUGGGUUGUAUCUUGGACAUCAUAAUUGUUAUGUUUCAGAGACUCUGGAUUUCUCAUAUUCUUCUGAAGAGGGUCAGUUAUAGUAUUUUUGAUUUAGUAGGGAAUUAACUUUCUCUUAAUUACACUUAAUCUGUAAUCUGUUUCUGCUGUGACUGAUGUCAGCUCAAAUCUCAAUUUUCCUUUAGUCUUUGUUCUUCGUUGCUUUGAGUUUGUCCUGCUUAUGUGUGAUACAGGGAUCAGCUGAUGACAUGGGCAUAGCUGAUAUACAAAAUUUGGGAUUCUUCAUCUCCUGUUCUCUCCUCAGGAUUCCCUUCAAGCCCCAAGCUCCAUCUCUUAGUUCGUCAGGCUAAAAAUAUGGCAGGAUUUCUAUUGGAGUUUCAGCUAGCCCAUGCUAUGACGAGAUUAUAGCUCUGACCAAAACCACAAAAACAGGAAACAUUUUGUGUUGGUUCCUUUCUCCAAGUUUUUUACUCUCCUCCAAAAUCUGUUGCUUUUUUUUUUUUUUUUUGUCUUUUUGCUAUUUCUUGGGCCGCUCCCGUGGCAUAUGGAGCGGCCUUAGAAAAGGCAAAAAGACAAAAAAGAAAAAAAUAAAUAAAAAAUAAAAAAUUACAGAGGUAAUGAGGUUGGGACCAGAUCUUAUAGGGCAAGAUGUCCUAUCUUUUCUAAUCUUACUCCUAGUCUCCCUUAUCCUGAGGUCUUAUUAAUUCAUGUCUGCAACAGCUUCUAACUCAUCUCAUCCAUUUUCCAGUUUAACCUAUAUAAUGCCACUGUGAUAACUGGAAAAUACCACCUUCAACAUGUCAUUCCCCUCUGCGCAAGGAUUCAGAAAAGUUAUCAAAUACAUCAAGUCUAAAUUAGUCUAUAGGAUUUUUAGGACUACCCUUAUUUACUCUUGUCUCUAGUGAUUUUUUUCUGAUCAUUUACUGAGCUCUUUCUUUGUUCAAGGAGCUGUGACCAAAGAUGGGUAAGAAACAGGUUCAAGACGUGGAGUUUGCUGUCAACAUAAACUUUCUUCCUAGGUCUGAGAGCCUUUUCCAAUUUCUUGCAUACAUGCAUUGAUGUCUUUAUAUUUCUAACUCAAGAUUUUGCUAUUUUUGCCCUUGAAUAUCUUCUCUUCUUGAACUUCCAACAUAAUCCAAAAUUCUUCUAUGGUUAUAAGGCCCUGCAUAAUCUAGUCCCUCACUAUUUCUUCUUGUGAUCACCUCUUGUGAUAUCCUUUUCAUCCCUCACUCUAUAGUCCAAUGACAUUGACUACCUCUCAGUUCUCUAAAUGUACUAAGUUUUUCCCUGUGUCUAGACCUUCUUCUGCCUAGGUCACAUUAUCCACUCCUUUUGCUUAUUCACACUUUAAGCCUUUGUUUGAGUGACCUGAGAACUUCCUUCCCUAACUCCAAUCUAUACAAGGUUUCACAGCAUCUUGUAAGAUCAUGUGUUUAAUGGGUUAUUACAAAGAGUUGCUCUCUCUACUAGAUCAUAAGCUCCAGGAAGAGGAGUAGAACUGUCUCUAGCUCACCACAGUAUCCUGGCUACUCUUUAAUCCAUCUAAUUUCAUUUUCUCCAAGAGUGCUCAAGAUCUUCUAAGUUUCUCAACGACCCUUUUCUUCCCUGACUUGUUUUGUUUUUUAAUAAAAUAGUUCUUCAAAUGUUGAAUUCAAAACCCUGGUGACAAUGAUCCAGCUCACCAUGACAGGAAAAACCAUCUCUCCUAGUGUAUCAUUGUAGAGCUGAUUGUAUUUCCUUCCCAAACCAUACAAUUUAAUCCUAAAUAAAGCCUGAAAUGUACUUGGGCAGAAAAAACAUAUAAAACAAACAGCAUUUGGACAGGACUUCUUUUUUUUUUUUUUUUUUUUUUUGCUUAAAAAGUUCUAUGAAAGUUUCUGUCUUAACAGGUUAUAUUUUGCUUGUUUGUUUUGCCCCGACUUCUUAUUGUGUUAAAGUCUUGCCACAUGUCAAUAAGACAUCUGCCCAUCUUACUUUUCCAUUCAGCUUGUCUGGUACUUAAAAUUGGGAAUAACAUGUUCCAUAUAUUUUAAGAAUCCUAUAAUGCUCUGGUCAGACGUCAGUGGCAGGGACAUUUCUUUUUAAUCUCUAAAUCACUUGCAGUUAUUGCAGGAGCCCACAACCAAGAAAUCCUCAGUAAAUGUUUGCUAAACUGUUCAAUUAAAUGUAAAUUGGUUGAUUCACAGGUGACUGAUUGGUACUUAUUUGGUAGAUAGACUUAUUUACUCAUUCAUUCAAUAACUAUUUAUGUAAUGCUCUAACAUCCAAAGUCCUAUGCUUAGCACUGGGGAGAAAAUGGAACAAAAGACACACAAGGAAUCUCCCAUUUCAGUAGGGGAAAUCUACAUGUGUAUUACCAUGUAUCUACAUGUAUUACUAUAUAAUAUCUAGUAAUGGGAUAAUGCUUUGUACAGGUAUCAUCAUGCACACAAUGAAGUCCCAGGAUUGGUUCUAUUCAUGAUUAUUGAGGAAGGUUUUAUAAAGUUGAGUUGUAAAGAAUGGACAGAAGUUUACCAAGCCAACAAAGGUAGAGAGGAACAAAAGAAGGCAUGUUUACCAGUAAGUCAUCAAGAGUAAAACAAGACACAUGAAAUAAGGUUAGAGAAACAGCCAGAAUUAUAUCACACUGUACUUUUUAUACCAUGCUACAUAACAACUGCUUUUAGUCUAAGUGAGAGAUGCAGUUUUAAGAGAGAUGUACAGUGAUGGUGUGAAAGAGAACUCAGGGUAGGAAGACAGAUUCAGGGAGUAUAUGUCUAGGGAGAAAUGUGAAGGAUCUGAGAUGUCAGUGAGGAUAAAGUGAGGGUAGUGAUUUGAUUGAUAUUAGGAGACAGAAGUUAACAGGAGACAGUGAUUCACUGGGAAGGGAAGAAGAUAUAGAGGGAGGAGCCUAAGAGGACUCCUAAGUUUCUGAUGGGGAUCUCUGAGCAAAUGGUAAUGCUUUCACCUGACUUAAGGAGUACAGAAAGAAGUAUACAUGUGAGGAGAGAAAAUUAAUGCAGUUUAGAAAUGUUAAUGGAUAUCUGAAGGACAUCCAAGGGCUUAUGUCUGGUAGGAAAAAGGAAAUGAGGACCUGAAGCUCAGGGGAGAGUUCUUAAUUAGAGAUUUAGAUUUCAAGGCCAAAUAUUUAUGAUUCUGUUUCAAAUGACAAAAUGUCACAAAAUAGCGCUACCAAGGCCCUGCCAGCUGCUGCUUCUGCCCUCAAGCAGAUCAUCUAACACUCAUCAGUCAACAUAUAUCAGAAUGCACUACGUGGGUUUGCAAUUUGUCCUUCACUUUAGCCCCUCUAGGUCUGCCUGUGGUAUCAGCAAUGAUACUUGGGGUCUUCUCUUGAGCUUGCUCCCCUACUCACAUGUGUUCUUUGGCACAGAGGUGAGAGUGUCCAGGCAAUACUGAACACUGGAUUAGCACCAUUUCAUUGGAGACUAGACUAGAAAUAUUUGAUUGGAAAGAGUCACUUAAAGAGUUACCUAGAAAAGAAACAAACUGACUGCUCUGUAUAAACACUCUUUGGACCUGAUGUAAUAUAUCCCUAACUUUUUGUGACUUCUGACAACUACUUUAAGAAAGUAAUAUAUGACCAAUUUAAUAACUAAUCAUAAUGAAAGCAUAAUUAUCUGAUAAUGCCAGGUCAGAGAUCAUCCAACUACAUAAAUCCUAAUGGAAAGAAGAACAUUAACUGAUUAAACCUAGAUCUAAAAUUCCACUUAUGGAGUUCCUGUCGUGGUGUAGCGGAAACGAAUCUGACUAGGAACCAUAAGGUUUCAGGUUUGAUCCCUGGCCUCACUCAGUGGGUUAAGGAUCUGGCAUUACCGUGGCUCUGGUGAAGGCCGGCAGCUGUAGCUCCGAUUAGACCCCUAGCCUGGGAACCUCCAUACGCUGCGAGUGAGGCCCUAAAAAGCAAAUAAAUAAAUAAUAAAAUAAAAUAAAAUUCUAUUUAUUUAUUAGCUCAUUCUCUUUGUUUUGGCCAUGCCCAUGGAAUGUGGAGGUUUCUGGGUCAGGGAUCAAACCCACACCACAGCAGUGACUCAAGCCACUGCUACGACAAUGCCAGAUCCUUAAACUGCUGCACCAUAAGAGAACUCCUAAUAGUUCAUUCUUUUUUUAUUUCUUUUUCUUUCUUGGCUGUCCCACGACAUGUGGAGUUCCCAGGCCACAGAUAAGAUCCAAGCUGCAGUUGCAACCUACAAUGCAGCUGAAGCAAUGCUGGAUCUUUUAACCCACUGUGCUGGGCCAGGGAUCAAAUCUGCUUCUUGGCACUGCAGAGAUGC